GAUGAACGCUGGCGGCGUGCUUAACACAUGCAAGUCGAACGGUGAAGGCGGAGCUUGCUCUGCUGGAUCAGUGGCGAACGGGUGAGUAACACGUGAGCAAUCUGCCCCUGACUCUGGGAUAAGCGCUGGAAACGGCGUCUAAUACUGGAUACGAGCUGCGAAGGCAUCUUCAGCAGCUGGAAAGAAUUUCGGUCAGGGAUGAGCUCGCGGCCUAUCAGCUUGUUGGUGAGGUAAUGGCUCACCAAGGCGUCGACGGGUAGCCGGCCUGAGAGGGUGACCGGCCACACUGGGACUGAGACACGGCCCAGACUCCUACGGGAGGCAGUAGUGGGGAAUAUUGCACAAUGGGCGAAAGCCUGAUGCAGCAACGCCGCGUGAGGGACGACGGCCUUCGGGUUGUAAACCUCUUUUAGCAGGGAAGAAGCGAAAGUGACGGUACCUGCAGAAAAAGCGCCGGCUAACUACGUG
This 468-nucleotide ribosomal RNA is filed under the name uncultured bacterium. Its description in RNAcentral is "partial 16S ribosomal RNA". It matches the Rfam family "Bacterial small subunit ribosomal RNA", at positions 28 to 507 of the family's 1533-position model. The record is from RNAcentral.